UCCGCCCGAAGCUUAAUGGAUGAAGAUCCGCUCCAGCCGGUCAUUGUCACCACAGGGGCAGGCCCCAAUCGUCUCCGAGGUCACCUAAUUCAUCUCUGUGGCAUUCUGCACCCGUCGGUGAUCUCUACGUAGCCGAAGGGCCCCUGUAGCCGUCGCUCGCAUCACUACCAAGCCGCCCGUGCCGUUCUUCUCCAAGUCCGGCGACCACCCAGACCCUGUUUCUGGUGAGCAAUCCCAUCCGUUCGAUCUCUCUCUGACGUCCGAGAUUAGAUCGCCCAUAUUUUUUCUCGAAACGUUUUCCUUUAAUUUGCACCAGUUCACCGUUUAGACUUUAGACCUUGCAGCGAACAGCUUCCCAGCAAGCACUGGGUGCCACGUGGCACAUCCACAGCAGCAGUGGUAGUUCUUCCCAGAACGCUGUUAUGGUAUAAUUUUCUUUGCACAUUUCAUAUCACAUUUUCAUUUUGGUAUAUCUUGAGAUCUAUAACACCAAAUUCAUCGAUUCUUUUUCCUGUGUACUCACAUUGACCAGGGGCAUAUAGUAGAUCCAAAUUUUCAUAUUUUUGAACUGUUUAAAUUUGAAUUUGCUCAAAUUUGAAUUUAACCUUUCAGAGGUCGUAUCUUUCAAACCAUUGAUCAAAAUUAGUUGAUUCUUUUUGCAUUGUGAUCUUACUAGAAUCUAGAUAAUAUAUACCUACUGAUAUGUUUCUGUUAUUGGAGUUUUAUUUGAAUUCCUUGUUGUUUACUUCAUUUUAUUGUUAUGUGAAUAUUGUUUAUUUAUUUGUGCCUUCUUUAAUCGUAUAGAUUGUCCGGAGUGUGAGGCGGAUCGGAAUUAAUCGUUAGAGUACUUCAGCAUCGUUCUAGGCAAGUUUGCACUUUUGAUUAUGCCCAUCCUAUAUUUCUACUAUGCAUGGGUGGUUUUUAUGCUAGGACUUGUGCUUGGUUUGAUCUGUAUGUUCUCUAUUGUCAUAUUCUGAUAUUGAUUGUAUUAUGUGAUGGUGUGAUCAACUUGCUAUGAUAGAACAAUAGAGUGAUCCAUGAAAGUGGUGAGUGUUUAUAGUCGUAGGCUCGAGAUUAUUAACCAGGUGAAUGCAUCACUGGCAGAGCGCUCUAUUGUCCCUAGAGAACGCGUCAUUGACAUAGCGCACUCGAGGCGAGGUAUAGUUUUCGGAACAUAAAUCAGGUGAAUGUGUCCUUGGCAGAGCGCUCUAUUGUUCCUAGAGAAUGCGCCACCGACAGAGCGCACUUGAGAGACUUCUGGAGUUCUUGUCAUGUUUUCUUUGAAUCUUUGGGGUUAUCAUGGGCGAAUAAAUUAGAUAUGGUUGUGAGUUCAAUUAGUAGAGGUAGGUGAAGACAUUCUUCUCCAAAUUAUCUUGUGUGUUUUGUUUGUCAUACUUUACUUGUGGAUGUAGGUUUGCUAUAUCAUUAUGUGUGAUUUGCCAAUACAUUCAAUGUAUUGACCCUUGUGGCUGCAACUUGUCAUAUUGCAAGAUUUUCAGAUGAUCAGUGAGAUACAGUAGGGUCGCGAGUCUUCACUCAGCAUUUUCGCCAAUGGGUCAUUGAUGAGACUCAUCGUUUGUUAUGCUACAUUUCCGAUGUUGUUAUUGAAUAAAGAUAGCUAUGUGCUUCUCAGUUUGUAAUACUUUAUGAAUUCUGGAUCAUAUAUUAUAGUAAAUGAUGCACUUGUUAUUUGAUAUUCAUAUGUACUGUGUGCGCUAGCAAGUCAAUCCAGGGACUAGCACAGUGAGCACAGAGACAUCGAAUCUUAUCAGGCUCGGGUCGUUACAGAUGGUAUCAGAGUAGUGUGUUGACUGUAGGUCGUGACCCUAAAAAUGGAUUAGGAAUGCCCUAGGAGUCAAAAGCUUACUUUACAACUUGUUGUCUAGUUUUUAGUUGAUACUCUUGUAUUCAUAUCUUUUCUUUUCAAGUAUAGAUGACCAAUGUAGUUAUACUAGUCUUACUUGAGGAGUUUUAGUUGAUAGACCACCAUUACUAAGUUUUGUUUGAUAAACAAUUUGCAGUAGUAUGAUGAGAUCAUAUCUCUCGUGGGUAUGACCUUACCUAUAGGUUUUGCUUGUGUUGUUUGAAUUGUUUGAUUUGGGAGUUUUGUUGCUAGCAUGAUGCAUAUGGGUAGAGUUUUCCCCUUAGAUCUUUAUUCUGUCUAUAUCCUAAUCUCUGCUGCAACAUAGGGAUGAGUUCAAGUUUAACCACAUGCGCCAGGAUCCGACAUGAAGCAAGCACAAUCUUGCUGAAGGAAGAACCCUAGAGGAAGCUAUACUUCAUUAGUAGAUGUUUUAUAGUAGUUGACGCAAACUCGAGAGUUGAAAGGAACACUAGAUUGUUUUGUGGGCAUGCAACACCAAUGGAAUUAUCUGAACUAGAGGAAGCUGUACAUCAUUAGUAGAUAUUUUAUAGUAGUUGAUGCAAACUCGAGAGUUGAAAGGAACGCUAGAUUGCUUUGUGGGCAUGCAACACCAAUGGAAUUAUCCGAACCCAGUUCGUGAACAAGAGAAGUGUCUGCAAAGUUCGCGAGGAUGCCCGAGUGUUAGAAUGCGAGAUUUUCUAAACCAUAUACAAAGUAAUGAUUUGGGUGCGGAAUGGAUUGAUCACCAUAUGCCGACUUACUCUUAUUAUUCGCUUUUGCUAUGUGAGAUGGUUAAUCUAGAGUGACUUACCUAUAGUAGAGAGACGUCGUUGUUAAGCCUGAAUCUUAGAAUGGUAUGACGUUUGACUCUUGUAGAAGGCAGUCGUUGCCAAUAGUAGGUUAUACGGUGAGAAUAAACCAAGCCUCUUUUCUGUAGGAACCAUUCUUGAUGACCCCCAUGAGAGUAUCGAUAUUGUUUAUUAUUGGCGCAAGACCUGUCAACUAUGAAGGCCCAGGAAUUGGAAGAUCACUCUUUGCAAAGUAUCCAAUCAAGAUCACAAAAGGAGUGUAUGGCUUGUAAUUUGAGGACGUCAUCGAAGGAGCAACAUUCUUGAAAACCGACAACUCUUAUUCUAAGGGUGGUAGCACGUCAGCCUCUCGGAUGAUCAAUGCGAAAUUCAAGGAGAAUGCCAAACUAACCUCUUCUUUCUAGCCUCUUCAAAUCUCGAGGACGAGAUUCAUUUUAAGGGUGGUAGAUUUGUAACAUCCCAAAUUUUCUAAAUUUGGAAUGUUAAUAGAUCAUUCAUAUUUUGAUGCCAUGUUUGUCUUUUUCUUAAUAUUUGGUUCAUUAUUCAACUCAAGGAAAAAUAUUGGAGAGGAUAUAACAUGACUUAUCCCCUGUUAAAAAAAUGUUGAUACCGUUCAUAAUAUUAUUUGGGGUUCAUAGGAUUAUUUUUGUAAAUAUAGAAUCUCAAACUAUUUUAUAUAUUGUUAUGAUGCUCUUUGUGGUCUUGUAUUGCAUAAAACAGUUCUCCCAAAAUUUCAAUAGAGUUAUAAAAAUGUUCACUGUUUUAUACAGUAGUUAUAAUAUUGGUCUGUGUAUUAUGAUACUUUUUAUAUGACGUACUCUGGUAUUUUCUUUUAGCCAAUACCUUCCCUUUAUAUUAUACCAUUUUGUUUUGUUUUUUUGUUUUGCCAGAAGAUACUCUAUUUAUUUAUUUUCAUCGCCCGCGUGUGUUACACGCGCAGUAGCACCGGCAGACCAGCAGGCCGGCCCAUUCCCCGCUCAGGACGAAGCCCAAAACCGCAACCCUUUUCCUUCUGUUUUUUUCUCUCUUUUCUUCUUUCCCCCGCUGAAAGGGAUGGCCCGCACGUCAUCUUCCUCCACUGUCGUCUUCUUCCUGGAGAGCACUCCCGAUCGAAAUCCUCCUCGUUUCAGCUUGGAUCUUUUCUCUCCCGGACGCCCUACUUACCUACAAAUAUUGCUCUACCUCCUGUCCAUCGAUUUUUCACAAAUUUUUCACCUACCGUGCCCUAGAGCACCCGGUCGGAUCUCGCCAGAGUUCGCCGUUGCAGGAGCGCCCAGCUGUCGAUUUCGUCGCGUAUGUAGGUUCCCAGCACCUACUUCCCCUAUGGUUCGAUUCGCCUUGGUCUCCUCUCUCUCCCCCAUCUCUUAUUCUGCGCAGGGAGACACCGCAUUGAGCCCUAGGACCUCCGCCUGAAGCUUAAUGGAGGCAGCUCCGCUCCAGCCAGUCACUGUCACCAUAGGAACAAGCCUGAAUCGUCUCCAAGGUCACCUAAUUCAUCUCUGUGGCGUUCUGCACCCGUCAGUGAUCUCUACGUUGCUGGAGGGCGCCUGUAGCCGUCGCUCGCAUCACUACCGACCCGCCCACGCCGUUCUUUUCCAAGUCCAGCGACCACCCAGACCCUGUUUCCGGUGAGCAACCCCAUCCGUUUGAUCUCUCUCUGACGACCAAGAUUAGAUCGCCCAUAUUUUUUUCUUGAAACGUUUUCCUUUAAGUUGCACCCGUUCGCCGUUUAGACCUUGCAGCGAACAGCUUCCCACCAAUCACCGGGUGCCACGUGGCACAUCCACAGCAGCAGCGGUAGUUCUUCCUAGAAUGUUGUUAUGGCAUAAUUUUUCUUUGCACAUUUCAUAUCAUAUUUUCAUUUAGGUAUAUCUUGAGAUCUGUAACUCGAAAUUCAACGAUUCUUUUUCCUGUGUACUCAUAUUGACCAGGAGCAUCUAGUAGAACCAAAAUUUCAUAUUUUUGAACUGUUUAAAUUUGAAUUUGCUCAAAUUUGAAUUUAACCUUCUGGAGGUAGUAUCUUUCAAACCAUUGAUCCAAAUUAGUUGAUUCUUUUUUGCAUUGUGAUCCUACUAGCAUCUAGAUAAAGUAUACCUACUGAUAUGUUUCUAUUAUUGGAUUUCUAUUUGAAUUCCUUGUUGUUCACUUUAUUUUAGUGUUAUGUGAAUAUUGUUUAAUUAUUUGUGCCUUCGUUAAUCAUAUAGAUUAUCCGGAGUGUGAGGCGGAUCAGAAUUAAUCAUUAGAGUACUUCAGCACCAUUCCAGGCAAGUUUGCACUUUUGAUUUUGCCCAUCCUAUAUUUUCUGCUAUGCAUGUGUGGUUUUUAUGCUAGGACAUGCGCUUGGUUUGAUCUGUAUGCUCUUUGUUGUCAUAUUCUGAUAUUGAUUGCAUUAUGUGAUGGUGUGAUCAACUUGCAUGGUAGACUUGGGCAUGUGUCGAGUGAUCCCUGAAAGUGGUGAGUGUUUAUAGUCGUAGGCUCGGGAUUAUUAACCAGGUGAAUGCAUCACUGACACAGCGCUCUAUUGUCCCUAGAGAAUGCGCCAUUGACAGAGCGCAUUUGAGGAGGUAUAGUUUUCAAAACAUAAAUCAGGUGAAUGCGUCCUUGGCAGAGCGCUCUAUUGUUCCUAGAGAAUGCGCCACCUAUAGAGCGCACUUGAGAGACUUCUGGAGUUCUUGUCAUGUUUUCUUUGAAUCUUUGGGGUUAUCAUGGGCGAAUAAAUUAGAUACGGUUGUGAGUUUAGUUAGUGGAGGUAGGUGAAGACAUUCUUCUCCAAACUAUCGUGUGUGAUUUGUUUGUCAUACUUUACUUGUGGAUGUAGGUUUGCUAUAUCAUUAUGUGUGAUUUGCCAAUACAUUCAAUGUAUUGACCCUUGUGGCUGCAACUUAUCAUGUUGCAGGAUUUUCAGAUGAUCAAUGAGAUAAGGUAGGGUCGUGAUUCUUCACUCAGCAUUUUCGCCAGUGGGUCAUUGAUGAGACUCGUCGUUUGUUAUGCUACAUUUCUGCUAUUGUUAUUGAAUAAAGCUAGCUAUGUGCUACUCAGUUUGUAAUACUUUAUGAAUUCUGGAUCAUACAUGAUAGUAAAUAAUGCGUUUGUUAUUUGAUAUUCAUACGUACUAUGUGUGCUAGCGAGUCAAUCCAGGGACUAGCAUAGUGAGCACAGAGACAUCAAAUCUUAUCAGGUUCGGGUCAUUACACCAUUGGGUCGUUCCAUGUAAAUUUCCUCCUCCAACUCUCCAUUUAGGAAAGUUGUCUUAAUAUCCGUUUGAUGAACGAGAAGAUUGUGUG
Molecule: long non-coding RNA, 5957 nt
Filed under: Triticum aestivum (bread wheat)
Lineage: Eukaryota; Viridiplantae; Streptophyta; Magnoliopsida; Poales; Poaceae
Description: long non-coding RNA (TAES_LNC001625)
Source: RNAcentral